Non-coding RNA from Jatropha curcas, 4896 nucleotides. Lineage: Eukaryota; Viridiplantae; Streptophyta; Magnoliopsida; Malpighiales; Euphorbiaceae. The record is from RefSeq and is a predicted model, not a curated record.
GAAUCAAAGAUCCAAAAUCUAUAUGUGAAAUGUGUUAAGUUCUUAGCACACCACAUGUUAAACUCCCUGUACAAAACCACCAACAACUCUAGAAAAUUCCCUUUAUUUUUUUUCUCGAGAAACAAACAAUUCACGAAACCCUAACUUCCACACUGGAUUCAUAAGAAACAUAAAAAUGGCUGUCUCAGAGGAGGAGUGCUCGAAUGCCAAGUCCCGAUCAUCGUCUCCUUCUGCAACAUUAAAUGGCACGCACUACCUGGCCAAGUGUGUUCUUCGAGGAAGCGCUGUUCUUCAGGUCGUGUAUGGUCACUUCCGUUCGUCUUCAUCCAACGACAUCAUAUUUGGCAAAGAGACAUCUGUAGAGUUGGUAAUAAUUGGCGAAGAGGGAAUUGUAGAGUCUGUUUGUGAGCAGCCCAUAUUUGGCACUAUUAAGGAUCUUGCUGUUAUCCCUUCGAAUGGAAAAUUACAUGCACGAAGCCCGCAGGAAAAAGACCUCUUGGCUGUUGUUUCUGAUUCUGGGAAGCUAUCCUUUCUCACGUUUUGCAAUGAAAUGCUCAGGUUUUUUCCAUUGACGCAAGUGCAACUUUCUAGUCCUGGAAACUCAAGGCAUCAACUAGGAAGAAUGCUGGCUGUUGAUUCCAGUGGCUGCUUUAUUGCUAGCAGUGCAUAUGUGGACCAAUUGGCUUUGUUCUCCCUUUCUGUCUCUGGUGGCAGUGACCUCAUUGAUAAGCGAAUAUUUUAUCCCCCUGAAAAUGAGGGGCAAACAAGUUUCACCAGAAGUAUCCACAAGCCAAGUAUAUCUGGUACAAUAUGGAGCAUGUGCUUUAUUUCAAGGGAUUCUUGUCAAUCAAGUAAGGAGCAUAAUCCUGUACUAGCCAUUAUUCUAAAUAGGAGGGGUGCGCUUCUAAAUGAACUUCUGUUAUUGGAAUGGAACAUUGGAGAACAUGCUAUAAAUGUCAUUUCGUUGUAUGUUGAAGCUGGACCAAUUGCACAUGACAUCAUUGAAGUUCCUCAUUCUAAUGGAUUUGCAUUUCUGUUCAGGGUUGGUGAUGCUCUCUUAAUGGAUCUUAGAGAUGCUCACAACCCCUGCUGUAUCUAUAGAACAAGCUUAAAUUUCUUGCCCACUGCAGUGGAGGAGCAGAAUUUUGUGGAAGAGUCAUGUAGAGUUCAUGAUGUUGAUGAUGAUGGUUUGUUCAAUGUUGCUGCAUGUGCUUUACUGGAGCUUCGAGAUUAUGACCCUAUGUGUAUAGACAGUGAAGGCAGUAAUAUAAAAUCAACCUCAAAUUACAUGUGCUCUUGGAGUUGGGGACCAGAAAGUGAUAAAAAUCCAAGGAUGAUAUUUUGUAUAGAUACAGGAGAAUUUUUCAUGAUUGAAAUAUCUUUUGAUUCAGAGGGGCUUAAGGUUAACCUUUCUGAUUGUCUGUAUAAGGGUCAACCAUGCAAGUCACUUUUGUGGGUUGAAAGUGGCUUCCUGGCUGCUAUUGUAGAGAUGGGAGAUGGGAUUGUUCUGAAAGUGGAAGAUGGAAGGCUACUAUAUACCAGCCCCAUUCAAAAUAUUGCACCGAUCUUGGAUAUGUUAGUUGUGGAUUGCCAUGAUGAGAAACGUGAUCAAAUGUUUGCCUGUUGUGGGGUGGCUCCAGAAGGCUCAUUAAGGAUUAUUAGGACUGGCAUAAGUGUCGAAAAGCUUGUGAAGACUGCAUCUAUUUAUCAAGGCAUUACUGGUACCUGGACACUUCGAAUGAAAUUGAACGACCUUUAUCAUUCUUUUCUUGUGAUAUCUUUUGUUGAAGAGACCAGGGUGCUAUCAGUUGGGGUAAGCUUUACUGAUGUGACUGAUUCGGUUGGCUUUCAGCCUGACGUAUGUACUUUAGCGUGUGGACUUGUAGGUGAUGGUUUGCUUGUCCAAAUUCAUCAAACUGCUGUUCAGCUUUGUUUGCCCACCAAGAUUGCGCAUGCUGAAGGUAUACCUCUGUCUUCUCCUGUUUGCACAUCUUGGUUCCCUGAUAAUACGAGUAUCAGUUUGGGGGCUGUCGGACAUGAUUUGAUUGUUGUUUCUACUUCUAAUCCAUGCUUUUUAUACAUUCUUGGGAUCAGAUUACUUUCGACUUAUCAUUAUGAGAUAUAUGAAUUGCAACAUUUGAGAUUGCUGAAUGAGUUAUCCUGCAUUUCGAUACCUCAAAAGCAUUUUGAGCGAAAACGAUUAAGUUCUAGCAACCUUGUGGAAGAUAACUCUGGGCCUACCCUUCCAAUUGGCAUGGACAUUGGUAUUACUUUUGUUGUUGGCACACAUAGGCCUUCUGUUGAAGUUCUGUCUUUUGUGCCACAUGAAGGUUUAAAAGUUCUUGCUUGUGGGACAAUUUCAUUAACAAAUACUCUGGGAACUGCUGUUAGUGGUUGCAUCCCUCAAGAUGUAAGGCUUGUACUGGUUGAUCGGUCUUAUGUUCUUUCUGGUUUGAGGAAUGGAAUGCUGCUUCGGUUUGAGUGGCCCCCAGCCUCUUCCAUGUCAUCAUUAGAAUUUCCGCACUAUGGAUGUCCUAUUGAUUCCUGUAUGGUUAAUGUUGGUGGUGCUUUAUCAAAUAUGUCUGCGAUGUCUUUUGAGCCUCAAACAUGUGCUGUUGAAUUAAGGAGCAAGGCAAUGGAUGAACUUCCUGUUAAUUUACAGUUGAUUUCCACCCGUCGUAUUGGCAUUACCCCUGUUUUCCUUGUUCCUCUGAGUGAUUCCCUUGACGCAGACAUGAUUGCGCUCAGUGAUAGACCAUGGUUAUUGCAAACUGCAAAGCACAGUCUCUCUUAUUCAUCAAUUUCAUUUCAGCCUUCAACUCAUGCAACACCUGUAUGCUCAGCUGAAUGCCCAAAGGGGAUCUUAUUUGUUGCAGAAAACAGUCUACAUUUGGUUGAGAUGGUACAUAGUAAGAGGCUCAAUGUUCAGAAGUUUCACCUUGGUGGUACCCCGCGUAAGGUCCUAUACCAUAGUGAAAGUAGGUUGUUACUUGUGAUGAGAACUGAACUUAGCAACGACACAUGUUCAUCUGACAUAUGUUGUGUUGACCCCAUCAGUGGUUCAAUAGUAUCAUCUUUUAAACUUGAACUUGGAGAAACAGGAAAAUCAAUGGAAUUGGUGAGGGUUGGAAAUGAACAGGUUCUGGUGGUGGGAACUAGUCUUUCUUCUGGUCCAGCUAUAAUGCCCAGUGGUGAAGCUGAAAGUACCAAGGGCCGGUUGAUAGUCCUCUGCCUUGAACACUUGCAAAAUUCAGAUAGUGGCUCAAUGACAUUCUGUUCAAAGGCAGGGUCAUCUUCUCAACGAACUUCACCAUUUCGGGAAGUUGCUGGUUACACAGCAGAACAGCUAUCGAGCAGUAGCCUUUGCAGUAGUCCAGAUGGUAGCUGUGAUGCCAAACUUGAAGAAACCGAGGCUUGGCAGUUACGGUUGGCAUAUGCGGCCAAGUGGCCUGGAAUGGCACUUGCAAUCUGCCCAUAUCUUGAUCGUUACUUUUUGGCGUCUGCUGGUAGUGCUUUCUAUGUAUGUGGUUUUCCAAAUGAUAAUCCCCAAAGAUUGAGAAAGUUUGCAAUAGCAAGGACACGUUUUACUAUAAUAUCAUUGGCUGCACAUUUGACUAGAAUUGCUGUUGGCGAUUGCCGUGAUGGUAUCCUUUUCUAUUCUUACCAUGAGGAUACUAGAAAACUGGAGCAGCUUUAUUGUGACCCAUCACAGAGAUUAGUUGCCGAUUGUAUCCUCAUGGAUGAAGAUACAGCUGUGGUUUCAGAUCGUAAGGGAAGCAUUGCUGUGUUAUCAUGUUCAAAUCUUACAGAAAGUAAUGCAAGUCCAGAAAGCAACUUGACAUUGAGUUGUGCGUAUUAUAUGGGGGAGAUAGCCAUGAGCAUUAGGAAGGUAAAUCUUCCUGCCACAUAUUUGUGGUCCAGAGGCAUUUGGGAACAUUUUCAUAUAAGCUCCCCGCUGAAGAUGUGUUGAUAGGAUUUGAUGGCAUAGGUGCAAAUAUUGAUGCUUCAAACAACACUAUCAUGGCCAGUACACUUUUGGGAAGCAUAAUAAUUUUCAUUCCCUUGACAAGAGAAGAGUAUGAACUUCUAGAGGCAGUUCAAGCAAGACUUGUGGUUCAUCCUUUAACUGCUCCUAUUUUAGGAAAUGAUCACAAAGAGUUUCGUAGCCGUGAAAACCCGGUUGGGGUACCCAAAAUACUUGAUGGUGAUGUUCUGGCUCAGUUCUUGGAGCUAACAAGUAUGCAGCAAGAGGCAAUAUUGUCAUUACCAAUUGACCAGCUAGAUACUAUUAAAACAGGUUUAAAAUCACCUCAAUUACCUAUCCCGGUUAAUCAGGUUGUGCAACUCCUUGAGCGGGUUCAUUAUGCUCUCAAUUAAAUAUGCUUGUCACUUCACGAGAUUUGUUCGCUGUGACUGGAGUUGAACAAUUUCAAAACCAAAGAACCACUACCAAUUUUGGAGGGGCUCAUGUUUCUGGUUGCCCCUUGAUACUCGUACAGCCAAGUUCCGCUAUCGAUAUGCAAACUGGGCUGGAAGAUGCAAUCUGUUAUGUUGAAGCUAAUCGAUUCAACGGACGUGAUGCCAACCAUUGAUUAUUAUUUUAGAGCUGCACGUCCCAACCAUUGAUUAUUAUUUUAGAGCUGAUCGAGAAACAGAAAGGGGACUCGACACAUAAAACAAGGCUGAAGUCGUUUACCUUUGGAGCCUGAUAAUGCGCUCUGCAUAUAUUUGUCUAAUCUUGUAUCAUAGUUUAUUCAUAUUUCAUGUGGUGUGGAAAAGCCGUGGGAGGAAAGUGAUUUGUAGUUCAAUGUGCAAUUCUUGCUCUAAAAUUAUAGACACCGGUCCUUGUAAAGUUCUUCCCUACAAAGACAAUAAUAAAAAAAAAAGUUCUAUAUA